RNAcentral lists this ribosomal RNA (1733 nucleotides) under Ambystoma mexicanum (axolotl). RNAcentral describes it as "SSU rRNA". It matches the Rfam family "Eukaryotic small subunit ribosomal RNA", at positions 3 to 1408 of the family's 1831-position model. The record is from RNAcentral. Lineage: Eukaryota; Metazoa; Chordata; Amphibia; Caudata; Ambystomatidae.
CCUGGUUGAUCCUGCCAGUAGCAUAUGCUUGUCUCAAAGAUUAAGCCAUGCACGUGUAAGUACACACGGCCGGUACAGUGAAACUGCGAAUGGCUCAUCAAAUCAGUAAUGGUUCCUUUAAUCGCUCUAUCCGUUACUUGGAUAACUGUGGUAAUUCUAGAGCUAAUGCAUGCCGACGACCACUGACCACCCGGGAUGCGUGCAUUUAUCAGACCAAGACCAAUCCAGGCUCACCCGGCCGCUUUGGUGACUCUAGAUAACCUUGGACCGAUCGCAUGUCCCGUGACGGCGACGAUGCAUUCGGAUGUCUGCCUUAUCAACUUUCCAUGGUACUUUCUGUGCCUACCAUGGUGACCACGGGUAAUGGGGAAUCGGGGUUUGAUUCCGGAGAGGGAGCCUGAGAAACAGCUACCACAUCCAAGGAAGGCAACAGGCGCGCAAAUUACCCACUCCCGACAUGUAGAGGUAGUGACGAAAAAUAACAAUACAGGACUCUUUCGAGGCCCUGUAAUUGGAAUGAGUACACUUUAAAUCCUUCAACGAGGAUCCAUUGGAGGGCAAGUCUGGUGCCAGCAGCCGCGGUAAUUCCAUCUCCAAUAGCAUAUAUCAAAGUUGCUGCAGUUAAAAAGCUUGUAGUUGGAUCUUGGGAUCACAAUGGCGGUCUGCCGCGAGGCGAGCUACCGCCUGUCCCAGCCCCUGCCUUUCGGCGCCCCCUUGAUGCUCUUAACUGAGUGUCCUGGGGUUCCGAAGCGUUUACUUUGAAAAAAUUAGUGUUCAAAGCAGGCCGGUCGCCUGAAUACUUCAGCUAGGAAUAAUGGAAUAGUACUCGGUUCUAUCUUGUUGGUUUUCGGAACUGGGACCAUGAUUAAGAGGGACGGCCGGGGGCAUUCGUAUUGUGCUGCUAGAGGUGAAAUUCUUGGACCGGUGCAAGACGAACCAAAGCGAAAGCAUUUUCCAAGAAUGUUUUCAUUAAUCAAGAACAAAAGUCAGAGGUUCGAAGACGAUCAGAUACUGUCGUAGUUCCGAUUAUAAACGAUGCAGACUAGCGAUCCGGCUGCGUUAUUCCCUUGACCCGCUGAGCAGCUUCCGUGAAACCAAAAUCUUUGGGUUCCAGGGUGAGUAUUGUUGCAAAGAAAGGAACUGACGGUAGGGCACCACCAGGAGUGCAGCCUGCGGCUUAAUUUGAAUCAACAUGGGAAUCCUCGCCCGGCCCGGACACAGAAAGGAUUGACAGAUUGAUAGCUCUUUCGAAGGGAUUGUGUCCUCCGACGUAUUCCACAUCUGUGACAGGUUAUCACCACAGCUGUGCUGCUUGGGAUAAUUUUCGGCGUCUGCGUCGAUGAUGUUGAUACGCUGUCCCUCGAGGGCCUCUGUCGAGAGCCGACGUCACCGAAUGUUAUACGUAGGACGCACGACACCCAUAGCCUCAGUUCCGUUUUUUCCACGAACGUGUUCGCUUCGGAAUCUCGGCGUGCCUCGGUUCUUCUCCUGAUUGAAUCGGUUCUUCGAACUUGAUUGUUUGUGAAGUAUCAUGUCUUCGUCUUCUACCCCGUGGUCGGGCUUCAAGAAGUGUCGGGCCUCGGUUCCAAGAUGUCGCUUACGGACCCGGACGACAUCUGCCUCUGGUGCCUCGGCAAGGACCACGCCACCGAUGACUGUGAUGAAUGCCAGUCUGACGUCGAAGGCCUUGCGGGAGCGUAAGAAGAAGCUGACUGUAGGUAGGGUUUCCAAAC